This 224-nucleotide long non-coding RNA is filed under the name Prunus persica (peach). Its description in RNAcentral is "long non-coding RNA (PPER_LNC001059)". The record is from RNAcentral. Lineage: Eukaryota; Viridiplantae; Streptophyta; Magnoliopsida; Rosales; Rosaceae.
AAUCAAUUAACUAUAAAAUCAUCCAUAACAUUGAAUAUUCAUGACUAGGGCUUCAUCCUAAGCCCUAACUAAAUGGAUUAGUUAGACAUAACUAUGAAUACAUAAAAUAAGAAAUACAUAGAUAAGAUAAAGAGAGGAGAAGAACUAGAUGAUGGCAGCAAGGAAGUUCCCAAGACAGCUCCAAGCUCCCUUCUCUCUUUGUGGUGAAUCUGAAAGUGUGUAUG